Molecule: ribosomal RNA, 292 nt
Filed under: uncultured bacterium
Lineage: Bacteria
Description: partial 16S ribosomal RNA
Rfam family: Bacterial small subunit ribosomal RNA
Source: RNAcentral
GUGUCAGCAGCCGCGGUAAUACAGAGGGGGCAAGCGUUGUUCGGAAUUACUGGGCGUAAAGGGCGCGUAGGCGGCCUGCUAAGUCGAUCGUGAAAUCCCCGGGCUCAACCCGGGAACUGCGACCGAUACUGGUUGGCUUGAAUUCGGGAGAGGGAUGCGGAAUUCCAGGUGUAGCGGUGAAAUGCGUAGAUAUCUGGAGGAACACCGGUGGCGAAGGCGGCAUCCUGGACCGGCAUUGACGCUGAGGCGCGAAAGCCAGGGGAGCAAACGGGAUUAGAUACCCUAGUAGUCC